RNAcentral lists this transfer RNA (71 nucleotides) under Dermacentor andersoni. RNAcentral's name for it is "transfer RNA glycine (anticodon GCC)". It matches the Rfam family "tRNA". From Rfam's summary of the family: Transfer RNA (tRNA) molecules are approximately 80 nucleotides in length. Their secondary structure includes four short double-helical elements and three loops (D, anti-codon, and T loops). The record is from RNAcentral. Lineage: Eukaryota; Metazoa; Arthropoda; Arachnida; Ixodida; Ixodidae.
GCGUAGGUGGUUCAGUGGUAGAAUACUCGCCUGCCACGCGGGUGGCCCGGGUUCGAUUCCCGGCCGACGCA